Aegilops tauschii subsp. strangulata is the source of this 3837-nucleotide non-coding RNA. Lineage: Eukaryota; Viridiplantae; Streptophyta; Magnoliopsida; Poales; Poaceae. The record is from RefSeq and is a predicted model, not a curated record.
CCUGCGGCAUCACUUGCAUCGACCUCUCACCGAUCACCGUCCCGAGGAUGCACGACAGACUGGCGGAGCAGGGCACCAGUGAUUGUUUCACCAAUUUGCUCGACUCAUUGUUCCCUUCCUCUGUCCACGCAACAUUGCCCAUUGUUGCUAAGUUGUUAAUUCAUCAGGCCCAUUAUUGCGGCUACAUAGUCUGUUCAUCUUGCCUGCCUUCUUAGGAGAAACCAAUUUACUGAAGGUUGGCAAUUCCGAAGUUAUUGCCUUUCUACUUUAAACUGAAAUAAUUCCUCUUUGUCUUUAAUAUGGAGAUGGGCACUGAACUUUAAAAAACAGUAUGAACUCAACCCCUUCUGUAAAUCAAAUAUUUCAUUUGCGGGGACGACGUGGGGCUCAUGUCGAGCACUUCACCUGCAAUGGGUGUGGCCUUCUCCGUCUGCCAAACAUGCUACAAGUACGAGCACCAUGAGGGAACUGCCUGGAGUGCAAGACCCGCCACAAGCUCCUCAAGGGUCAGUCAGGCUCCACCCACGGCCGAAGGCACUUGCAGAUGUGAAGAAUAUCCAUGUCCGAUUACAUCGCCAGAAAGCAAAAACCAUGAGAGCCCACACUAAUCAUCAAGGGAUUUUUGAAACGAGCAGAAGAUUAGUAACUUCUACGACAUCAAAGAUCUGACCUUUUAGAGUAUGCAUCAUAUUGAUUUACUUAUUGAUUUAUUCACACUAUAUCAGAUUUGUCUUGAACGUGAUACUUUAUUGACUGUACUGGACACGGGAAGUUAACUGUUUUAAUUAUAUAGGAUUAGUCUGCACCAAUUGCUGCAUAAGUUCUCCUUGAUACCAAUUUACAUACUUGUGCUACUAGGCCUUUGGUCAGUUUGCAACUGGUAUUUUAGACAUGUACGAGUAUUCUCAUGGUAUUUCUAUAUGUUUUAAUUAGUACCAGAUGGAAUUUGCGAAUUACUCUUACAAAGAGAAGAGAAAAGGAAACAUUAUUCACGAGUUUGCAGGAAUAUGGAAACUCAAGGUAGUCUGUUAGCAUAAGUAAAAAAUGUUUUUCAUUUUAUUUCUUGGUUCGACCAAAUUAUAUUUUAUCCGAACGUAUGGAUGAUCGACACAAUGGACGUACGUAGUUUCUGGUUAGCACUACUCGGAUAACAAUUAUGCCUACUAUUACCAUUUUUGUGCAUUGUUUGGUCUUAUGCAUUUUAGUUAAAUACAUCCUUUGUGACAAAUAAUGAUUUUUGAGCAUACUAUCUUCUUUUCAUGUGGGGAGAUCGCUGAUAGAAAAGAAAAUUGUGUUUCUGAUAUGUUAUGCUUAUUUCUAAGUGCUUCCAAUUUCGAACUACUAGGUAUGCAGCCUUAGAUGAACAACUAACCUCUUUAUUUGCUUGAGGAUGAUUUGAUUGUGCAAUUAAGACUACAUAAUUUCACUUUUCAUUUAUAUUUAUUGGUGAGGGCGAGCUGGCGGCGGCAUGGCGCGCUGGUGCGCGUGGCCGCGGGUUCGGCCAGGGUGCGAGCCGAUCUGGCAUGUGCGCUGGCGAAGUAAGGCGUAGAGGUGCUCCGGCCGGCUGGGUGCGUUGGUCCGUGGCGGAGGUGCGAGGUGGGCGUGGAUCUGGCGCCUAGCAUGCGCGAGGGGGGACAUAUGGGCGUUGUGCGUUUCUUCGCGGCGGGAGGUGUGACUGUGCUGCUCUGCAGAUUGAUGACGUUGUUCUCCUGGUUUCGUGGAUCUGCAGUGGGGUAGCCGGUGGUUGCGGCGCCAGAGAAUGCUGGGGCAGCGGCCUCGGGCUGAUGGCUGCUAUGGCAGGGGCUGCUGCACCGGCUCAGGAUGGUGGAUUUGGAGCGAUGCACUCAGAUCUGACCCUGGCAACUGCGUUGUUUCUAUGUCGCAUGAGUUGCUACAGCUGGUCGUCGCGUGAGGGCUAUGCCGGCUGACGGCAGGGGGGUGCCCUACACAAUGUGCUUGGCUCUGAUGGUCUGGGUAUCGUUGCGUGACCAGAUUUGCAAGCAAGCUCACUGAUAGGAGAUCAGGGACUCGGGCGAAAGCUCCAUGACCUUCUUAGAGGCAUAGUCGUAGACAUCUUCCUAUCCUUUCAUGUGCUUGGGUUCUCCGGGUGAGAACCUAAACUCCAGUUUUCUGGAGUGGGUGGCGGCGGCGUUUACGUCGUAACCAUCUUCAGAGGCGUUGCCUUGGAGGGCCAGCCUUUGGAUGUCGUGUGGGGCUCUUUCGUUUUCAAGGGCGGUGUAUGUCGGGGCUGCGGCUCCGGGAUCUUCUAUUAAGUGUCGAGGCUGCGGCCUUGGGCAGUACUGCGACGACAGCUCCAAGAGGUAGGGCUGCUUGUCGGCAUGGCUUGGGUGAGGACCUUGAAGUGCGGAAGCAGCAAGGUUGUCAGCUCCGUCAAUGCGCCCCAGUCGGGACUGUUGGACGACAUGUUGGGAUAGCGGCCCAGGAUGUGGUGCAGCGUUCGUGGUCUAUGUGCGGUUGGCCUGAGCAGCGUGAGCUGCGGGUAGCUGUAUCGUUCGGCGUAGUGCCGGCCAGGUUGUCGCUCAUCCAGGUUACCGACCGGGAAGAGGUGUAGUGCCGGCCAAGACGAGAACAAGGGGAAGCUGCUUGGUUGUCUGUGUUCAUCAAAGGUGCUCUCUCUUUUCCAUCUUUCUUUUUAUUUACUUAAUCCUAGAUGGGUGACUACUAAUUUCCAUGUCUACUGGGAGGAAGAAGGUUGGCGGACGUAUCUUUGUGACUAUGUCAUUCACGUGCUUUGUUUCAACUCAUAAAGUGGAUCCUUUUUAAGCUAUAUCAAAUCAUAAGACAUAAUUUUCAGUUGAUUUUUUUCUUCUAAUUCCCAGUUUAUUGCUUCACAUAGACUAUUACAUAUUUAUGCUAGCCAAUUCAAAGCUUUGUCCCAAGGGCAAGCAUACCAUUGAAAAAAUAAAUACAUGUAUGACAGAUCAGCCAGCAACUUGUUGAUCUGUGAUUCUUUGAAAUUUGAUGCUUAUAACUGUUUAUAAGUCAGUAUUGUUCAGAGCCAAAGAUAAGUAACAAUCUAUUUGGUUAAGUUGAACACUUUCAGAUCAGGAGUAGUAGAAAUUCUUAAGGGCAUUGGGAUAUUGAACUGCAGAUAGCUUCGGCAGGUUUGUUAGGCUAAUAUAAAGUAGGGACCUUUGCUACAUAAUGAUACAAAGAUGAUACCGAAGGUUGUUUUGCAACUAGCAAGUUUCAAGGUCACAUGGAUGCUGACAGCUCUCAGGUGUAUGGCCUAUUUGUUGCUGGGUAUUGUUGCCUUUCUUCCUGGUUUAUACAGCGGAGGAUCCUGAGUUGAUGCAUAUAUUGGCUCAAAAAGUAACUAGGCUCUGAAGUGCAGAUUGACAAGAGAGUUUCUGCUGCUAAUUGUUAAAUCUUAAAGAAACGUCUGUUCCUGAGGUUUACAAGUCCCCUUGUUCAAAUAUGAAAAUGAUUUAUUUGCAAACUUCAAUGCAAAAUGCCUGGUGAUUCAAUUCUAACAGAGGAGCUUGCUACAGCCAUCCAGGGGCCAGGGCGAUUAGAUGCCCAUCACUCACGGCGGCAAGAAGUUCCGUGUCGAGUUGAUGAACCAGCACCAGCUGGGAGCCCGGAUGAAGAAGGUUGUCCCCGCGGAGAAAAAGGAGAAGUGAUGAGAUGUUUUUGACAGCUAAUGGAUGAUGUUAUCUUAGUCUGUGAAUUUUUGUUUUGGUCGAUUUAGAAACCUUGUUUGAUGUCUGAAGAUCCCUUUUUGCCCACUGUUCAAACCAUCUCUUCAUUUUUGUGUAAAUGGUAACAAUACACUUCAAACAAUUAAGUUGUCAUCCCAAAAAAUAUUUUGUAAAA